Molecule: ribosomal RNA, 629 nt
Filed under: uncultured Lachnospiraceae bacterium
Lineage: Bacteria; Bacillati; Bacillota; Clostridia; Lachnospirales; Lachnospiraceae
Description: bacterial SSU rRNA
Rfam family: Bacterial small subunit ribosomal RNA
Source: RNAcentral
AGUGGCGGACGGGUGAGUAACGCGUGGGUAACCUGCCUUAUACAGGGGGAUAACAGUCAGAAAUGACUGCUAAUACCGCAUAAGCCCACGGCUCGGCAUCGAGCAGAGGGAAAGGGAGCAAUCCGCUUUGAGAUGGCCUCGCGUCCGAUUAGCUAGUUGGUGAGGUAACGGCCCACCAAGGCGACGAUCGGUAGCCGGACUGAGAGGUUGAACGGCCACAUUGGGACUGAGACACGGCCCAGACUCCUACGGGAGGCAGCAGUGGGGAAUAUUGCACAAUGGGGGAAACCCUGAUGCAGCGACGCCGCGUGGAGGAAGAAGGUCUUCGGAUUGUAAACUCCUGUUGUUGAGGAAGAUAAUGACGGUACUCAACAAGGAAGUGACGGCUAACUACGUGCCAGCAGCCGCGGUAAAACGUAGGUCACAAGCGUUGUCCGGAAUUACUGGGUGUAAAGGGAGCGCAGGCGGGAAGACAAGUUGGAAGUGAAAUCCAUGGGCUCAACCCAUGAACUGCUUUCAAAACUGUUUUUCUUGAGUAGUGCAGAGGUAGGCGGAAUUCCCGGUGUAGCGGUGGAAUGCGUAGAUAUCGGGAGGAACACCAGUGGCGAAGGCGGCCUACUGGGCACCAA